UGCAAGUCGAGCGGAUGAAGAGAGCUUGCUCUCUGAUUCAGCGGCGGACGGGUGAGUAAUGCCUAGGAAUCUGCCUGGUAGUGGGGGACAACGUUUCGAAAGGAACGCUAAUACCGCAUACGUCCUACGGGAGAAAGCAGGGGACCUUCGGGCCUUGCGCUAUCAGAUGAGCCUAGGUCGGAUUAGCUAGUUGGUGAGGUAAUGGCUCACCAAGGCGACGAUCCGUAACUGGUCUGAGAGGAUGAUCAGUCACACUGGAACUGAGACACGGUCCAGACUCCUACGGGAGGCAGCAGUGGGGAAUAUUGGACAAUGGGCGAAAGCCUGAUCCAGCCAUGCCGCGUGUGUGAAGAAGGUCUUCGGAUUGUAAAGCACUUUAAGUUGGGAGGAAGGGCAGUAAAUUAAUACUUUGCUGUUUUGACGUUACCGACAGAAUAAGCACCGGCUAACUCUGUGCCAGCAGCCGCGGUAAUACAGAGGGUGCAAGCGUUAAUCGGAAUUACUGGGCGUAAAGCGCGCGUAGGUGGUUCGUUAAGUUGGAUGUGAAAGCCCCGGGCUCAACCUGGGAACUGCAUUCAAAACUGACGAGCUAGAGUA
RNAcentral lists this ribosomal RNA (597 nucleotides) under Pseudomonas putida. RNAcentral's name for it is "bacterial SSU rRNA". It matches the Rfam family "Bacterial small subunit ribosomal RNA", at positions 56 to 648 of the family's 1533-position model. The record is from RNAcentral. Lineage: Bacteria; Pseudomonadati; Pseudomonadota; Gammaproteobacteria; Pseudomonadales; Pseudomonadaceae.